CCCGGACAUCGUGAUAGUCGACCCAUUCUACAUGUGUGCCAAGGUAUUGGGCAGCGCUGGGGACCGGCAAGUCGCGAGUUCAUACCUCGAAGGCGUCAUUCUGGCAAACCUAGAUAAGGAUAACUUCCUCGUGCCUUACUUUCCCGAGUAAGUCAUCUCCUCACUGCCCCGUAACAUAUGAUUUCUUAGAUUUCAAUCAUCUUUUUUAUAACAUUCCGUGUUUUGUGCAGUGACACACGUUGCACACUCAUCCUCUUAAGCCCGAACUAUUCCAUGACCACGUAUUUCGACUCGGACCGUCAGUCGAAUAAAUACUACACAAAUAUCAAGAAAGUUGAUGAUGUUCUCCCCGGCUACGCCAAAUCUGGAGGCACCUUCAGGAGGCCAAUUCUUAGGUACGGCAAGCACGUGUUCACCCAUGUAACGAUGUUCCCCUGCGUCAAGCAGCCGCCUGGCGGUCAGAAGGAUGCCUACUAUGCCCUCCAUCACAUGCGGGCGAUCGUACGGGACCAUAAUCAAACGUCUGCUACCAAAUAGUCUCAAAGAUUGGGCCGCACACUUGUCGGCAAUCUAGGACGCGGACGUCAGACAAGAAUUCUUUCGCAUCCAGUCGGAGUUUGCGGAAAUCAUCCAUCAAGAUGUCCUUCAUACCUCGGGGCAGUUCUACCUCAGAUAUCAAUCGUCCUACAGUGAAAUAGAAACAACGCUACAAAUGCAGGUUGACAACGAUCACGAUUUCAUGACCAUCAUGAAAGACGGCGGCUUCAUCCACGCUCCGGUCCCUGAGUCGAGUCGAAAGUAGUGAUGCUAUGUAGUUCUGAAAUAUCGAUUAGCUCAUGUUGUAAUUACACUUCAAUGAACUUGUAUGUCUCUUUGGUUUGGACAGUCAUUCAACUUAUAUGUAAUCGAUGCUAUUUAUUAGUAGGACCAUGAAUCGUGCUAUUAAUGUGUUGCUUUUCUCUUCCGAUCCUUUUGUUGCGUACUUAUAUAUUGCUUAUGUAUUGUCUGUGAAUUGCUACUAAUGUUUUGUUUGUCUAGUCAUAGAGAUGCCGUCGUAUGUCAUGUACAAGGGUAAGGUUCCCGAAGUCUACGACGACUGGGAGGAGUGUCGGACACAGGUUCACCGUUUCAGCGGUAACAGUUACAAAGGGUCCACCACUAGGAUGGAGGCGUAAGCUAGAUACACGCGCUAUCUAGCGGGAGAGAGGAGGGAGCAGAGGAGGAACCGGAUGAAGACUAGUUUCAUCGAGAUGAUGCUCAUCGUGAUGACCGCAUCUCUCUUCUAUGUGAUGGUAGUUUAGAUGAUCGAUAUCGACUUGUAAUGUGAAGACAAACUCGCUACUCGCGGUCUCGAGACUUGUAAUGUUCUGACUUUGUUCGCUCUUUUGAAUUCGGAGACUAAUAUGAUGAAUUGUAUUCGGAGACUAAUCUUCUAUUUGUAUUCGAUAAAUUUGAUGUUUAUAUGUUGUGCUGUCUAUAUUCUGUGCAGUAAUAUAUUUUGUAACCUGUGCAAAUAUCAGAAAAGAAAAA
Molecule: long non-coding RNA, 1530 nt
Filed under: Triticum aestivum (bread wheat)
Lineage: Eukaryota; Viridiplantae; Streptophyta; Magnoliopsida; Poales; Poaceae
Description: long non-coding RNA (TAES_LNC001404)
Source: RNAcentral